RNAcentral lists this ribosomal RNA (433 nucleotides) under uncultured bacterium. RNAcentral's name for it is "partial 16S ribosomal RNA". It matches the Rfam family "Bacterial small subunit ribosomal RNA", at positions 29 to 507 of the family's 1533-position model. The record is from RNAcentral.
AACGAACGCUGGCGGCAUGCCUAACACAUGCAAGUCGAACGAGACCUUCGGGUCUAGUGGCGCACGGGUGCGUAACGCGUGGGAACCUGCCCUUAGGCUUGGCCUAACCCCCCGAAAGGGUUGCUAAUACCGGAUCAUGUCCUCGGACCAAAGACUUAUCGCCUUUGGAUGGGCGCGCGUUGGCUUAGCUAGUUGGUAGGGUAACAGCCUAUCAACGCGACGAUCCAUAGCUGGUCUGGGAGGAUGGUCAGCCACACUGGGACUGAGACACGGGCCAGACUCGGGCGGGAGGAAGCAGUAGGAAGUAUUGGACGACGGGCGAAAGACGGAGCAAGCCCUGCCGCGUGAGGGAUGAAGGCGGUAGGGAAGUAGAUCUCUUUUACCCGGGAGGGUGAUGACAGGAACGGGAGAAUAAGCCCCGGCUAACUCCGUG